Molecule: long non-coding RNA, 745 nt
Organism: Lathyrus oleraceus (garden pea)
Lineage: Eukaryota; Viridiplantae; Streptophyta; Magnoliopsida; Fabales; Fabaceae
Exons: 6
Source: RefSeq, a predicted model, not a curated record
UAUUAGUGAUGAACCUUGUUUAAAUAGAUGAAGCAAGGUGUUAUAAUAAAGUUGAGAGUGUUGUGUACGCAUAUUCAGAGACCUCCCCAAACUGUAGUUUGUAUUUCCAAUCAACAAACUCCCAUCUUCUUCUGCUAUCUCUCUCGAGGUUUUAAAGAGAGAGAUGGGAAGACUUUUCUUGAUCGAUCUUGAAGAAAACUUCUACAGCUGCAAGAAUUGCGAGACACCUGUAGCCCUUGCUAAUCAUCUCCUUUCAAGGGAUUACCAAUGCCCUUAUGGAAGGGCUUAUCUUUUUGAUAAAGUUGUCAAUGUCUUGGAUGGAGAGAUUGAAGAGCCAAUCCCAGAAUCGAAUUCUACUAUGAUCCACCUAUUCUGCGUUCAAUGCCAGUCCAUUGUUGGAUUCAAAUUUGUAAGGCGGGCCGUUCUUGAGAAUCAGAGGUCCAUGAUUUUUCUCAUAAGGUGUUAGCUUACGACGAGUUUCGGAGGUACAGAGAAGGAAAGUUUAUCCUUGCAAGGUUGAAGAUAUUGGUGCCUGGUGAAUACUCGAACAUGCCUGCUCUUGAAGAUGUUUGAUUUACUUACCAUUUUGAACUGUACAUUCUUUAUGCUACCUUCAUCAUGUUGUUAAAAUGUAGUAUCUCAGGAAAUAGAUACUUUACAAGUCUGCUAGUUUCCUUUUGAAUUGUAUUUUCUUUAUGCUACCUUCAUCAUGUGGUUAAUACUUUCCCUUUAUGAGGUCUUUGAU